This 213-nucleotide unclassified non-coding RNA is filed under the name Hevea brasiliensis (rubber tree). The record is from RNAcentral. Lineage: Eukaryota; Viridiplantae; Streptophyta; Magnoliopsida; Malpighiales; Euphorbiaceae.
GGAUAAGUCAGUUGAUGACAUGAUGUGAAUAUACAUUCAAUGUACACAAACAUGAUCCAUCUGAAUGCAACUAUGGAUUAUUGAAUCUAUUAAAAAAAGCAUAUUUACUUGGCCACUGCUGGUGUUGGGAUUUAUCUUGAUACAUGUUUCUUCUCACAUGGUAGUCUUGAGGAGAAGCUCUCACUUCUUGAAGAUGAGAAUCAUGUCCUUCGA